This 500-nucleotide ribosomal RNA is filed under the name uncultured bacterium. RNAcentral describes it as "bacterial SSU rRNA". It matches the Rfam family "Bacterial small subunit ribosomal RNA", at positions 28 to 507 of the family's 1533-position model. The record is from RNAcentral.
AAUCAACGCUGGCGGCGUGCCUAACACAUGCAAGUCGAACGCGAAAGGGGCUUCGGCCCUGAGUAGAGUGGCGAACGGGUGAGUAACACGUGGGUGAUCUACCUCUGAGUGGGGGAUAACGUUCCGAAAGGAGCGCUAAUACCGCAUGACGUGCCGGGUUUGAAGACCUGGCCACCAAAGUCGGGGACCGCAAGGCCUGACGCUUGGAGAGGAGCCCGCGCCUGAUUAGCUAGUUGGUGAGGUCAUGGCUCACCAAGGCGACGAUCAGUAGCCGGCCUGAGAGGGCGGACGGCCACACUGGGACUGAGACACGGCCCAGACUCCUACGGGAGGCAGCAGUGGGGAAUUGUUCGCAAUGGGCGCAAGCCUGACGACGCAACGCCGCGUGGAGGAUGAAGGUCUUCGGAUUGUAAACUCCUGUUGAUCGGGACGAAUGGCCGCCGGGUGAAUAAUCCGGCGGAGUGACGGUACCGAUUGAGGAAGCCACGGCUAACUCUGUG